This is a long non-coding RNA of Pogoniulus pusillus (Red-fronted tinkerbird), 419 nucleotides long. RefSeq lists it as uncharacterized. NCBI's taxonomy places the organism in Eukaryota, Metazoa, Chordata, Aves, Piciformes, Lybiidae. The transcript is spliced from 2 exons. The record is from RefSeq and is a predicted model, not a curated record.
GGCAGUGCUUAUGCUGGGAAGCCAUCCAAAGCAGGGAUGGUCCUGUCCCUCAGGAGCUUGUCCUUUGGAGCAACAGGGGACUCUUUCUGCAGGAACUAUCCAGGGAUGAUGAGUCCUCCAUAUAUAUGCUACAGGACAAGAUAAGAUGAGAUAGGAAAUGACCUCACAUUGUGCCAGAAGAUAUUUAGGCUGACUAUCAGAAAAAAAUCUUCAACAAAAAGGUUGUCAUCCAUUGGAACAGGAUGCCCACAGAAGUGACUGAGUAACCAUCCACUGAGGUAUUUAAAAGCAUGUGGAGAUGUGGUGCUCAGGAACUUGGCUCAGUGAGAGAUUUGGCUGUUUGGACUCAAUGAUUUCAAGCAUCUGUUCCAACUUAAAUGUUUCUAUGAUACAAAAAUAAAAAUGCCUCUUUCCCCCUG